CCUACGGGUGGCAGCAGUGAGGAAUAUUGGUCAAUGGAGGCAACUCUGAACCAGCCAAGUCGCGUGCAGGAUGACGGCCCUAUGGGUUGUAAACUGCUUUUAUGCGGGGGUAAACUCCGUCACGUGUGGCGUAUUGCAGGUACCGCAUGAAUAAGGACCGGCUAAUUCCGUGCCAGCAGCCGCGGUAAUACGGAGGGUCCGGGCGUUAUCCGGUUUUAUUGGGUUUAAAGGGUGCGUAGGCGGGUUGUUAAGUUAUGUGUGAAAUGUCGGGGCUCAACCCCGGAACUGCAGCUAAUACUGUGGGACUUGAGAAUAGUUGCGGUAGGCGGAAUGUGUGGUGUAGCGGUGAAAUGCUUAGAGAUCAUGAAGAACACCGAUUGCGAAGGCAGCUUACCAUACUAUAACUGACGUUGAGGCACGAAGGCGUGGGUAGCAAACAGGAUUAGAUACCCCUGUAGUC
This 460-nucleotide ribosomal RNA is filed under the name uncultured bacterium. RNAcentral's name for it is "partial 16S ribosomal RNA". It matches the Rfam family "Bacterial small subunit ribosomal RNA", at positions 338 to 795 of the family's 1533-position model. The record is from RNAcentral.